GAUUAACGCAUAAAAAAUCUCACUUGAUCACCUUCUGUGAUCAGGACCCAGCUUGGAGCAUUGUAUAUGGUAGGGUGGUGAUAUGCAAGUUUAAAUGCUGUAAGGUUGGGGCUUCGGUAAGUCUUUGACGAGCCCACAGAGCAAAGCAGUAUCAGGAAUAUUGUACUCAUCCCUAAGAGAGCGUGCAGGAGAGAGAACGCUAGCAUAAAGUUGCUGACCCAGGUAGGUUUUCUCCCACAGCUCAGACCUUAAGUUCCACAUUCCAGCAUUGUCGAAUGUCAAGAAGAUGGCUGCCCAUGAUUUCGGAAACACCUGCACUGUGGUCCUGCUAACU
This 334-nucleotide unclassified non-coding RNA is filed under the name Hevea brasiliensis (rubber tree). The record is from RNAcentral. Lineage: Eukaryota; Viridiplantae; Streptophyta; Magnoliopsida; Malpighiales; Euphorbiaceae.